Molecule: small RNA, 287 nt
Filed under: Skermanella aerolata
Lineage: Bacteria; Pseudomonadati; Pseudomonadota; Alphaproteobacteria; Rhodospirillales; Azospirillaceae
Description: 5' ureB small RNA
Rfam family: 5' ureB small RNA
Source: Rfam by way of RNAcentral
CUUCCGCCUGCUGCGGACAGAUCGCGUGGAUAUGGACGUCGAGGCCGCCGGCGGUGACGAUCUUGCCUUCACCGGCGAUGACCUCGGUCCCGGGGCCGACGACGAUCGUGACGCCGGGCUGGACAUCCGGGUUGCCGGCCUUGCCGAUGGCGGCGAUCCGGCCGUCCCGGAUGCCGAUAUCGGCCUUGACGAUGCCCCAGUGGUCGAUGAUCAGGGCGUUGGUGAUGACGGUAUCGACGGCGCCGUUGGCGCGGGUCACCUGCGACUGGCCCAUGCCGUCGCGGAUG